GUAACUCUUUUCCAACUUCUUGCGGAUGGGUUAUAUUCCAAAACAAAAUUGAAACCUUCUCUGUACACAGUGAAGCGCUUGAUCUAUUAUUACAACCCAAUUUUCUCCUUUAAUCUCUUCUCUAACAUUAUCUCUUCAUACUUUUCUCCAAUUUCCCCUAAAUCUCAAACCCUAAUAUUUUCUUCACUCACGGAAUCAAAAUCAAUCAUUUUGUUCUUAAAUUCACCACAAAAAUCCAUCACUCAUCAAUGUCGCAGCUAAUUUUUUAUAUUUUAAAAAGCAAAAUUCAGAAAACCCUAAUAUUUUCUUUUGAAAUACAAAAGCAACAGAGAAAAGAAUCUGAGAGACUAUUGUACGAAGAAUGUGGGAAUUGGUCCAAUUGGACAAACGAAUUCAAAUUUUUUCUGUCGGUAUUCUUUUAACAAAAUUGUAUGUGGUUGGUGCUGGAGCACAGGAAAAGGCAGUGCCAAGCAAAAGGGAAGAAAGAGAAUUAUUACAACGGUUUUUUUUUCUUUGUUACGUGGUGCGCUGUGAAUAUUGCCAAGUCAUUUGAGUACCUGGAUAAUUGGCAAGAGGAGUCUCUAAUUCAGUUAGCUGUUCAGAAGAUACCUGAUCAUCUGUCCCCAAACAGGGGUAAAUUUUGGAUAUGAGUUCUUUCACAUCUUUGCAUCUAUGCACCGAAGGAGGGAGUUGAAUCUUUUCUUCUAGAUUUGUCCCAACUAUCACAUAAGUAAAUUAUCCAUUUUAAUGUCUAAGGUUCUUGAAGAUCAAGACGCAUAUUCUUCGUAAGUGUCAGAACGGUUAUAUUAUUCCAGACCACAGAUUUUCUGAGGCACGCGCCUACGACGUCUGCACGGCCGCCAUUCGGUAUAACUGGCAGGGUUUGCCUGAAAUCUCCCCCCAUAAAAACCGUAAUACCUCCAAAAGUUCUACCCCCUACCAAAAGCAAUGAAGUAAUACCCGAUGAUGCAACGGUGAGCACUACAUCUGCCUUGAAUCGACAACUUGCAGCUAUUGUGUUGUAUAGAAAUGUUUUCCCUGUCCCUGCGCUGCCGUUUAGAAAAAAGGAAAAUGUUUUAGCUUCUUGCCGGAUACGCGCAGUAGUUUGUCCAACAGGUAUAAUCCAUAAUCCAAUGUCUGUUCGUCUGUUGGAUUCUGAAUGUUGAACAUUGUUCUCAGUCUAUGAGGAAGAUCAUCGCAUAUUUUCAAACCAAACUUUGCCCACAAAAUUUCUGGUUCAGUUGGGUUACAAUCUGUUAAAAUUAUUUUGAAUAGUUUUCUGAGCUGGCUACCUGUUUGGAUAUCUACGGCUUCUUUAAGACACUCCAUGGAUUCUCCGUCAUUUUCUAGUAGUCCAAGUGCAAUGCAUGCUCUUUUGAAUGUAGGUAGCAAAUCACCGUCCACUAUCUUUAGACGUUCAAAUGAAUUUGCACCUGCAACAACAGUCAAAAGUAAUUUUAGGUAGUAUAGUUCUCCAACAUUAGGAGAAACAAAAUACAUUCUAGCGAUUGCAAAACCCUGUUUCCUAAUGUGCCACUUUCUUGUAGUUUUAUCCCAAACAAAGUGUUGUGGAAACUCUUGGUACGUAUAUUGAGGUGCUGUAAGGUUUUCAGCAUAAUACUCAAAAUAAGCCAUCAAUGUCGUCUUAUAGUUCUCAGCUUUCUCCGUAACCCCUUCUAUUGACCCUGUUGAUUCAUAAAUAAUUCUUUGCUUGCCUGGCAAAUGGAUCGCCAAUCUCACUACGCUCGGUUCUUCUUGAUGGAUGGAAUAACCGAAUAAACGGUGUGCAGCUUCAGGUGGUCCAAUAUACCUUGCAUCUAUAUACAUUUGAACCUCAUCUAUUGAUCCAACAAUAACUGUUGUUUUAUCAUAUCCUUUAUAGAUGUAUUUGUUUAUGUAUUUCACUUCCCUUACUCCAGCACAUAUCUCGACGUUUAUAUGACAGUUAAACAUUCUUGAUAAGUGUAGAUUGUAGGGUACAACAUCAGUAUUGUAUGCUUUACGUCCGCCACGAACAAUAACUUCUCUUCCAUCAUUACUACGUCGAUAUACUGGAUACCCACCACCGUCUAAACAUGUAGCAUCGUUGUAUUUUUUUGGGUAUCCUUUUUUCAUACAGGGGGCCUCUGGAUUCCUAUCACCGCAUGGACCGUGCACCAUACACUUUCUUAUUGUAUUAAAGAGGAGUGGAUCUUUCUUCUCAUCUGGAAAUUCUGCCGAAACAAAUUUGUUCACUUGCUCAACUGUACGUAUUUUGUCUGAUUUCUCCAAGAAUAUUAGUAAAUGCAUAUGCGGUAAUCCACGUUUCUGAAAUUCAAUGGUGUGCACAUGACCAACAACUUUGCCAAACACAUUAUUUUUGGUUAUCUCAUUCAUAAGAGUUUUCCUUUUUAACUCAAAAACUCGUGCCACUAAAUUAGGACGAUGGCAUGCAUAUUGGUGUUGUAGAAGCUCGCCUUGGAUUUCUGGCCAAUUCGGAUUGGCAGUCAUAGUGAGAAAAAUAUCAGGAUGAUGGUUAAAGCGUGUAAUUUCCAUGAAUCUUGGUAGAUGAUAAGUGUUGUAAACGCCUUAAUAUUUAUCUAUUGUUUAUGCUUUCUUGGCGAGUUUUCGUGUGAAUUAUGUAUCUUAUGUUUACUUUUGAGUAUUUAGGUACUUUGGAGUCAUUUAGAGCAAAAGAAAGAGAAAUUGUCCAUUUGGAACAAUAAAGGUCUAUUCACGGACGAGUGAUACUUGGAGCAAGCUAAGAUUAUGCACCAAAGGAGAUGAAGAAUUAGAUGUCAGUUCCGCGCAACUGACAGUUGAGCAAGGAAGCCAUUAGGCAGUCGGUUCCCUGAAACUGACAGGCCAAAUGAAUUCUGUGCAGCCCUUAUCUGAGUUACUGGGUGCCUAUAGCCGUGCCAGUUUCAGUACAUAACCCUUAAUCGGGAUUUGUUCUUUUCAUUACAUCUAUCUGAAAUUUAGAGAGGACAGACCUGCACCUGAAAUUGAGAAAGAAAGAGAAAUGAUCAAAGCUGUGAGAGGAGAGAUGGCUGUUGUAACGACGAGAGAAAUUGGGUUCAGUUCAUCACCAAUGAGACAUGGAAGAUGUUACAGAGACGGAGAAUUUACUGUGAACAAGAGAGAAAGGGGAUCUCAUGUGUUGAAUCUGGGAGUGGUUUUGAUACUGAGAAGAACGAGAAAAUUUAGAUGGGGUUUCGAUCGAAUCUGCUGGUGGUUACAAUGGAUUUGGAGUGAAUUAGAUGUAUGUGUAGGUUGGCUGUGAGAUAGAAGACGAGCAGAUUGAGGGAUUGAGGUUGUUGCUGUUCAAGAUGAGCUUGAAGUUAGGGUUCCAGUGAAGAACAACUCUAAGAAGAAAUUGAAGUUAGAAAUUGAAAACUAGGGCUUCUGCUGAAAUGGGUUGAUUCUGAUCUUGAAGCCGAGAUAAUGAAGAAAAUGGUGAUUUGUUACUGUUGUUUGAGUGCUGCUUCAAAGGUGGAGAUGGAUUUGAGUCACUGGUGGAUGAAUUUGGUGGAAAGAUGGUUGCAAUGGCAGUGUGUUGAUGUUGCCAAUGAUGGCCAGUGAGCAGCUACAGGUGGUGCUGAGAUGAUAUAGCAAUGAAUUGGCAGUUGAAGCUGCAGAGAUAGCGGAGGCAUUGGUGGUGCAGUUCAAAAGCCGAGAUGGGUUCUUGAUGAUGUUGAUUCAUGGGUUCAGCUAGUUACAGUUACAGGUUUUCCUGAGAUGGUAUUGUACUUGGUAGAAAUGAAUGGAGUCUGGUUAUGGCAGUAAGAAACAUUGCAGAGAGUACUCGCAUCUGCAGUUUUUGGUGGCAGUAGUGCAGAGAAGGAUACGGCACCGUGGUGUUGGUUGGAGUUAGAGUUGCUGCUGAAUUGGAGUGCAGUCACGGCUGAGAGCUAAAGAGGAAUGACAGAGAUUGCAGUCAAGCGGAACUGGUGGUGCUGUUUAGAAUGGGUUGUGGUGUUACAGGUGCAACUCUGGUGCACUCAGCAGAGAAGAAGUUGAUUAUGAUUCUGAGCUAAUGAAGGUGAUAUGAAGUUGAAGCAAUACUAGCUUGUGCAGGUGCAGAGCUGCGAAGGGAGAAGUUGGAUUACAGGCUUGAGGUUAUGUCUGUUAAUGCUGGGUUGAACUGGAAUUGCGAGUUAAGAUGUUGGUGCAGCUGCAGUUGGUUGCGUUGAGGAGUUUAGGGCAUGACUUAGAAUUGGUAGGUGCAGCUGUGCAGUGGUGGAAUUGAAGCUCAAAUAGUUGAGAUUGGUGUGGACUGGAUGCUUAGAAGAACUGUGGUGGUUACAAGGGUCUGCGGUGUUGGUGGAACUGUUGAAGAUACUACAGAAGUGGCGAUGCAAUGAAGCCGAGAUGGAGGGAAUUAUUGAGUCUGUGAGUUGAGGAAUCUACGGCAGUUGAAGCCGCAGCUAAUACAAGAGCUGAAAUUGCAAGUGACGAAGCUGAGGAUGUAAAUUGAUGUGGUUCUGUUGCUGGCGAGUUUUUGAGACGGGAAGAAAAGGGAUAUGGCUCGAGUUGCAGGUGAUUGCAGGUGGAAAUAGCAGCUGCAGCUGAGUGCCUGAGAAUUAAGCAAGAAACCUGAGAAGAGAGAGUGCAGAAUGGGUAAAUGGAUUGCAGGCAGCUGAGAUUGCAGGUACAAAAGCUGGUCGUGCUUGUGUGGUCGAACUGUAAUGCUUACAGUAUGUGACAGAGCAGUUGUGAAAUGAGUGAAUGUCUUGGGCUUGAAUGGCAGUGAGUCUGAUAGAAUGGGUUGUGUAUGAAUGGAACAGCAGCUGCAAUGCAACUGGUGCAGGUAGAGUUAUGUUGCAGUUGAAGCUGCAGGGUGAAUUGGAGGUGGUGGAUUGUGCGAGAUUGCAGCAGGGAAUGGAGUUACUGGUGAAGCUGCGAGAUAAGCAAGACAAGACAGAACCAAUGCUACUGAGGUUUGAAGCUAAUGUGUAUGAGUAGAUGAAUGCUAGGAUUGAUACAGACGCAGGGACUGAAAGAAUGGCCAGGAAUUUGGUCGGUAAUCGCACAGAAACAGAGGAAACUAUGUCUGAAUCGGUGUUUAGGCGAGUCAAAUCAGUGAGUUAGUCACCGAUCCAGUACUUAAUUAGAUGGACUUGGACCUGACUGAUGGGCUUUCAGAGAUUCAGUUUUGACCGUGACCUAAACUUACUUGGUCACAGAAGGAAGGAUAUAAAAGAAAACCUUUCUCUAUUCAACUUGGAUCUUCUCUUCUACUUUGGGUUACAACAUGAUAGGUUUUAUCUUCCUCCUUGUUAUGAACUCCAUGAAUAUGAGUACCUAGUUUUUAUUAUUGGUCAAGGAAUAAGUUGGAGUUCCAACCAUGAUAUUUAUGUAAUGAAUUAGUUUU
Long non-coding RNA from Papaver somniferum (opium poppy), 5353 nucleotides. RefSeq lists it as uncharacterized. The record is from RefSeq and is a predicted model, not a curated record. The transcript is spliced from 8 exons. NCBI's taxonomy places the organism in Eukaryota, Viridiplantae, Streptophyta, Magnoliopsida, Ranunculales, Papaveraceae.